This 527-nucleotide ribosomal RNA is filed under the name uncultured bacterium. Its description in RNAcentral is "partial 16S ribosomal RNA". It matches the Rfam family "Bacterial small subunit ribosomal RNA", at positions 355 to 893 of the family's 1533-position model. The record is from RNAcentral.
UGGGGAAUAUUGCACAAUGGGCGCAAGCCUGAUGCAGCAACGCCGCGUGAGGGACGACGGCCUUCGGGUUGUAAACCUCUUUUAGUAGGGAAGAAGCGAAAGUGACGGUACCUGCAGAAAAAGCACCGGCUAACUACGUGCCAGCAGCCGCGGUAAUACGUAGGGUGCGAGCGUUGUCCGGAAUUAUUGGGCGUAAAGAGCUCGUAGGCGGUCUGUCGCGUCUGCUGUGAAAACCCGAGGCUCAACCUCGGGCCUGCAGUGGGUACGGGCAGACUAGAGUGCGGUAGGGGAGAAUGGAAUUCCUGGUGUAGCGGUGGAAUGCGCAGAUAUCAGGAGGAACACCGAUGGCGAAGGCAGUUCUCUGGGCCGUAACUGACGCUGAGGAGCGAAAGCGUGGGGAGCGAACAGGAUUAGAUACCCUGGUAGUCCACGCCGUAAACGUUGGGCGCUAGAUGUGGGGACCAUUCCACGGUUUCCGUGUCGCAGCUAACGCAUUAAGCGCCCGCCUGGGGAGUACGGCCGCAAGG